Long non-coding RNA from Myotis myotis, 4894 nucleotides. RefSeq lists it as uncharacterized. The record is from RefSeq and is a predicted model, not a curated record. The transcript is spliced from 2 exons. NCBI's taxonomy places the organism in Eukaryota, Metazoa, Chordata, Mammalia, Chiroptera, Vespertilionidae.
GCAAGGUACACACCCUUGACCGAAACCGAACCUGGGAUUCAGUCCAUGGGCCAAUGCUCUAUCCAUUGAGCCAAACCAACUAGGGCUCUCUCUUAUUUUAGAAAAGUUAUCCAGUUCAAUAUCAGUGUUCUCAUGUAUAAAAUAAGGUAAGUUAAAAUAAUCAGGAAAUAAAGAAACAGAUGGAAAAUAGCCACUGCAGGAUUGUUGUGAGAGUAACUUCUUGAGUAAGUUGGCUUAUCGAGGAGCGACUCCCCACAGUGCCACCUCUCAGCUGCUUCUUCACACAAGCCGUCUUGCUGUGAUGGACAGAGAGAAAGGACCUCAGGUGUUUGCACUGCAGUCAUGCAAGUGUGUCCAUGAGCUCUGCCUUUCAGCUGAGCAAGGACACAGGUCAUGUUUCUUUAGUGGAGACUUUGUCUGGAGAAUUCAUACCUGAACAUGUCACAAAUGAGAAUCUUGGAAUAUUUCCCCCUUAGGAACUCGGAAAACAAUGUCAAACACUGCUUGGCUUCUGUGAAUUAUUUGCAGCCAGGGACUGGAAUAAGUGGUUGCAGAUGACUUUGUGUAAUAUUGAACCCACUGUUUUUCAGUAGUGAAGGUAUACCAAUGGGAGGUCAGUGGGUGGACCAUAAACCAGACUCUGAGUUAAGCCACAUCUGGAAGAGUCUCUGUUUCUUUAUUUUCAUUUCAAACUCUAGAUUAUUAAGGACAAGAUCUAUAUCUUGGUCUUAUAACAUGCAUUUAACUUUCAACUCUCCUCUUCUGAAACACACAAUGUCUUUACAAAUAAUAAUAACAUUUAUUGAGCACAUAGUAUGCGGCAGGCCCUGGACUAGGUGUGCCAUUCCCGUAGCUACGUGUGAGGCUACCACUACAUACUGAAUCAGUUAUCUGUUGUAAAGCAGUCGUUGUAUCUAAUCCCGAUUGGGUAGGUCAGCAAUCUGGUCAGAGCCCAGCUGGCCACUGCUUCUGCGUGGGGUCACUCAGGUGACUGCACUUUGUGGGCAGGUAUGCUGGCACCAGUUGGUCCAGGAAGGCUUGUCUCUGCUCCACAUGGUCUCUCCUCCAGCAGAGCAGCCUUGGCUGAUUCUCAUGGACACAGCGCCCCCAGAGGUCAAGAAUGGAAACUGCACCGCUUCCCGAAACCCAGACUUGGAACUCACAGUGUCACUUCCAUUGCCUUCUACUGCUCACAAGGCCAGCCCAGAUUCAGGGAGUGUGGAACAGGCCUCACCUCCUGAGGCGCUGCCAAGAAUGCGUGGCCAUUUAUUGUCUACCACACACACUCUCACAGAUGAGCUAUUGGUUUAUUUGUUUUGAGAAAUCUCCUAGUAAACUCCUUUUUAAAAAAACAUCCAUCAUCUUCGAUGUAGCAUGAUAAAGAGGUGGGGUAAGGAAAUACAAACUUUUAACAAUUUUGUGCAUGCACUGGCCCAAACAGAAGAAAAAUUUUUAACUUUGAAAUCUAAAUGAGCUUGAGAUAAGUCAGACAUUUCCCCAAAUGUUGGGUGCAUAACAGAUUAUCUUACCAUGAGCAGUGCAGUUGCGGUGAUGCGUGGCGCCCUGAGGGGUGCCCGCCCUGCGCCCAGGCUGCGUGGGAUGCCCACUUGGGAUCUGGAAACCGCUGGGGUCGGGCUCUCGUGGAACCCAGAGCUGGGGUACAGCCCCUCCCUCCUCUGUUUCCAGAGCUGGCAAAGAGAUGCGUUCUCUGCCAUGUGAGCAGCAGGAUGGGAAAUAGUCCACAGAACGUGGUCUCUGGCCUCAGCUGGUGGACCGCAAGCCGGGCUCUGAGUUAAGCCACAGCAGGAAGAGUCUGCUUCUUUAUCUUCGAAGCAUUCUCCUCACUCUAGUAAAGGCCGUGAGGCUGUGUGGAGUGGCAGGGGAGCCCACUGGGUCCGUCUGGGAACCUGCAGGUGAAGACAGUGGGGAACAGAUCGCAUCCGCCUGCAGGUGGAUGGCUUGGGGCAGGACGUGGACCUGUCUGCACCUCCGUUUGAACCUGCCUGAGUAAAACCCAAAUGGCGACACCCAGCUUCCAGGGUUGAUGUGAGAACUAAAUAUGAAGUGGAGAAUGUGCUCAGAGGCAGUGGCAGAUGCUCAAACCCGGCCAUUCAUCAUCCCUGAAGCUGGCAUGCACCCAGAAGGUGUGAGCUGCAGCAUGUGCUUAGGAAAAUUCCUAAAUCCUGGCAUUCCUCCAGGAGUUAAAGGAGAGGUUUAAGCUCAUUUCGACUGCAUGGCUUUAUAAUGCCUACUUGCCUAGGAAAUCAGAGCUUCAUUCUUUUGCAUGAAACAUAUAUUGUAGGGACUAGAAAGCAAAAUACUACAUUUCCCAGGCUCACCCCUAAAUUAGGGUCUGGAUGUGAUUGAGGUUUUGCCUGUCCGAUAUACAAAUGCAAACUUGAAUUAGUGGAGGGCACAGUAGGGACAGAAGCACAGAGGCAGUGGUGUGUACCUGUUGGGAAACAGAAAAACAACAUCUCUGCCAGCCCAGAAAAGCUCCCCAUGGAGGCAGAAAAGAAAGAGGGGAGUUUAUCAAGGAGAAAGCAUACAGCAGAAUGUGAUGUGAGUUACAUGCAGGCAGCCCGGUCAGAGAUUGCAAAAGCCAGCAAGCAACCUCACCCCUGGGCAGAGCUGAGCAGACACACCCAUCCAUAGGUGUUCCCAAGAUAAACAGUAACUAGGCCUUGAGGCAGAGGCGCGAAUGGCACCAUUUAUCACAGUUGAUGCUCAAUUCACCUGGUCAUUGGGCAGCCACCUGUUUGCACAUGGCCUUUAUCCAAAGGAAAGCGCAUUGAUGAUAGCGGAUUGCGGGGAGUGACGCCUGGGAUUGGCGCUGGUGCCAGCUGCAGGGAGGCGCUACUCCCCCUCAGUCAGGUGGUGAUUAUUGAGAGAAAUAAAGUGCUAGGUAUUGUAAGGCAGUAACAUUUGGACAGUUCACCUGACCUUGCAAUUGUAUAAAAUGCUCACCAAUGUUCUGUAAGUGCGCCUGUCUGUCUGUGUCCAAAUUUCCUCUUCACGUAGCGGGUGCAGCUGGGGCCCAGGAGGGUUUGUGGGCGGGAAGGCCCCCCACGCACCUGGGCGUCUGGAGCAGAACCUCCCGGCGGAUGUGACCUUCGAGCCUGCAGUCCUCCGUGGACCGGAGCUGCUCUCGCCCAUGCUGUUUGUACAUUUAGCUCCAGGUUCAUCUCCAAUCUCGGCUUCCGGCGCCUGCUGCGCAUUUGCCAUUGUUAAUAACGUUUUGGUCCUGAAAUAGAUCACUGGUAGGGAGGUGGUAUAAGUUUGGAGUUUAAAAAUAAGAGCUAACAUUCAUUCAACAAUUAUUGUGUGCCAGAAACGUACGAUUUUUACAUCGAUGACUUCAUUUUAUUUUUGAAUUGUUCACACAUGAAGAGGCAGAGACUGUGGAACAAUGAGGACAGAACUUGGUCUCGGCCGAUGCUAACGUCCAGGACUCACCACGUACAAAUCUGCUGAUUAAAGUGUCAGUGGCCCUGGCCCAUGGGGCUCAGCGGGUUGGGCGUCGUCCUGUGCCCUGAAAGGUUGUCAGCAAUGGAUAUUGCUUUCACAUGGAUGUUUCUCUCUCUCCCUCUGCCUUCUCCUCUCUCUAAAAAAGCCAAUAAAAGUAAAUUAAUUAAUGAAAAGUUUUAGUAAGUUAAGAUUAUGCCAAAAUUUGCCUGUCAGCUCUUCACUUACAAAUCAGUAUCUUUUUUAUUUAUGACUAGCGAUUUCCUGAAACGUUGCAUAGAACAGCAACACUAUGAUCAAGUGUCUGCAUGUCUUCCGGGGAAGCUGCCAAUCUGAGGAAGAGUUGGAGGAGGAGGCAGAGGAAGGAAGGGAGGGGACAGGUGGUCACCUGUGACGUUCCGCAGCUCAUGCAGGACUGCUCUCCCGGCCCCUCUUCCCAGAGACUCGGGUGGGAUGGGAGGAAAGGUCCUCUUAGAGAGGGGACCGGAGGGCCAGGCCCAUGCCCAGAGCUGAGCAGGUGGCAGCUGGCUAGAGAGAGUCGGCAAUAGGACUUGGGGGAGAGUCUGAAUUGUGUUGGGGGUACACUCUUCAGGCAUAAUCCCUUUAUUACCAAAGGGUUUUCUUCUUUGGACCAGGUUAAUGCUCCUCCAGGUCACCUCCUGUAAGACAUUCUGCCCUGAGAGAUGCGUCUGCAUUGGGUUGUAAUUCCAUCAAUGUAAUGAGGGGGAGACGUGAUUGCCUCAAGCGAACCUUUCUCUUCUGUAGCUGGUGAUGGAUGAAUAAAAGCUGCAUCCUUUCUUCCUGAAGUCUGGAGAGAGUGGGGAGAGGCCGGGCAGGGUACCCACAGUAUUCGCUGGUCAGCUGACGCUUCCGAGAACGCCCAGGCCUGGCCACAGCCAGAGGGCCCAGCGGCGCCAGGAGAAGUUCAUCAGUAACAGUUUGCAUUUGGAAAUUAUCUCAAAAAACGUCAGUUUCCAAGAGGUCGGCUGCUUUCUCAAUAUCUUUGCAACACUGCAGGCCCUUUCCCUCCUAUUCGAAGGGAAGGGAACUCUCUCUCCCUGAUUGUGUGCAGAGACCACGCAGUUGUUGGCAGACUUGAGAGCCACACACAAAUCCUUUAUGAUCUUUUCAACUUCCUUUCUCCUCCAGGAAUGUGCUGAGGCGCCCGGCGCCCGCUGUCGGAUGGUAAACCUGGCGUGAUACCGACAGGCGAUGCUCUUGAAGUUGGUGUCAUUACCUCUGUGCUUCAGAGGCUCGCCAUCGGGGAAGUCAGUGAAUUUUCCAAGGUCUCCCAGAUGGUACAUGACUUCAGAGAACCUCGGCCAUGCUGAUCCCAGAUCCCAGAGCCCAUGCCCAUGGACAAAAGAAUAUAUUUGAUUAUGUGUAAUAAAAAAUCAAAUAUUUUUAUUAAAACUGCUAAAAAAGAACA